RNAcentral lists this ribosomal RNA (478 nucleotides) under uncultured bacterium. Its description in RNAcentral is "partial 16S ribosomal RNA". It matches the Rfam family "Bacterial small subunit ribosomal RNA", at positions 28 to 523 of the family's 1533-position model. The record is from RNAcentral.
GACGAACGCUGGCGGCGUGCUUAACACAUGCAAGUCGAACGGUAAGGCCCUUCGGGGUACACGAGUGGCGAACGGGUGAGUAACACGUGGGUGAUCUGCCCUGCACUUCGGGAUAAGCCAGGGAAACUGGGUCUAAUACCGGAUAGGACCACUGCCUGCAUGGGUGGUGGGGGAAAGCUUUUGCGGUGUGGGAUGGGCCCGCGGCCUAUCAGCUUGUUGGUGGGGUGAUGGCCUACCAAGGCGACGACGGGUAGCCGGCCUGAGAGGGUGACCGGCCACACUGGGACUGAGAUACGGCCCAGACUCCUACGGGAGGCAGCAGUGGGGAAUAUUGCACAAUGGGCGCAAGCCUGAUGCAGCGACGCCGCGUGAGGGAUGACGGCCUUCGGGUUGUAAACCUCUUUCAGCACCGACGAAGCGCAAGUGACGGUAGGUGCAGAAGAAGGACCGGCCGACUACGUGCCAGCCGCCGCUGUAA